UACGUAGGGGGCAAGCGUUGUCCGGAAUUAUUGGGCGUAAAGCGCGCGCAGGCGGUUCGUUAAGUCUGAUGGUAAAGCCCGGGGCUCAACCCCGGUAUUCAUUGGAAACUGGCGGACUGGAGUGCAGGAGAGGGAAGCGGAAUUCCACGUGUAGCGGUGAAAUGCGUAGAGAUGUGGAGGAACACCAGUGGCGAAGGCGGCUUCCUGGCCUGUAACUGACGCUGAGGCGCGAAAGCGUGGGGAGCAAACAGG
RNAcentral lists this ribosomal RNA (252 nucleotides) under uncultured bacterium. RNAcentral describes it as "partial 16S ribosomal RNA". It matches the Rfam family "Bacterial small subunit ribosomal RNA", at positions 524 to 776 of the family's 1533-position model. The record is from RNAcentral.